GGAGUUAGCCGGUGCUUCUUCUGUGAGUGAUGUCCUUCCUGCCGGCUAUUAACCCGCAGGCCUUCUUCCUCACUGAAAGUGCUUUACAACCCGAAGGCCUUCUUCACACACGCGGCAUGGCUGGAUCAGGGUUGCCCCCAUUGUCCAAUAUUCCCCACUGCUGCCUCCCGUAGGAGUCUGGGCCGUGUCUCAGUCCCAGUGUGGCUGAUCAUCCUCUCAGACCAGCUACGGAUCGUCGCCUUGGUGAGCCGUUACCUCACCAACCAGCUAAUCCGACAUAGGCUCAUCCGAUAGCGCGAGGCCCGAAGGUCCCCCGCUUUCCCCCGUAGGGCGUAUGCGGUAUUAGCCUGGGUUUCCCCAGGUUAUCCCCCACUACCGGGCAGAUUCCUAUGCAUUACUCACCCGUCCGCCGCUCGCCACCAGGGAGCAAGCUCCCCGUGCUGCCGCUCGACUUGCAUGUGUUAGGCCUGCCGCCAGCGUUCAUCCUGAGCCAGAAUCGAACCCUGA
RNAcentral lists this ribosomal RNA (507 nucleotides) under uncultured bacterium. Its description in RNAcentral is "partial 16S ribosomal RNA". The record is from RNAcentral.